UCCCAUUUGGUAUAAAUUAGUCAAGGAAUUAUAAUUUCAACACUAUAAUUCCGAGAUAAUUUAUUCUAUAUAACAAAUGAAAAGGGCCGUUUAAUAGGGUGUGUAAGAAUAAUGCAAAAUAUGAUAUACUAAUAAUGUUAACAAUAGUUUUAUUUUCCUUAGUUAUUCCUUCGUGGAUAGAUCACUAAACCAUCAUGAUACCGAAAUCAACAUACUUAUGAGAAAGCCUCAAGACAGAGAGUUGAUAGGGUGUGUAAGAAUAAUGCAAAAUAUGAUAUACUAAUAAUGUUAACAAUAGUUUUAUUUUCCUUAGUUAUUCCUUCGUGGAUAGAUCACUAAACCAUCAUGAUACCGAAAUCAACAUACUUAUGAGAAAGCCUCAAGACAGAAAGUUAUUAUUAUUAAUAAUAGCUCUUUAUU
RNAcentral lists this long non-coding RNA (420 nucleotides) under Capsicum annuum. RNAcentral's name for it is "long non-coding RNA (CANN_LNC012294)". The record is from RNAcentral. Lineage: Eukaryota; Viridiplantae; Streptophyta; Magnoliopsida; Solanales; Solanaceae.